CCUCACUGUGCACGCCACCCCAUCCCCAAAAUUCUCAGCACAUCAACCUCUUAUUUUCCUCCCCAAAUUCAACAAUUUUUUUUCCCAAAUCCAAGACUAAUUCAACGAAUUUUUCUCCAAUCCAACCACCAAUGAAUUCACCCUAUGAGGACAUUAGAGUACUACUUGAUCAUCACAACCCCUAUCAUCAGCUUCAGUGUCUGAUCUGAAAAAACACACACCCUUUGAAAUUUAGAACAAUACCCAGAUCUGUAAAACACACACCCUUCCCCGACCCGCUCCCUCCCUCUCUCUCACCCUCUGUUUUUCUCUCUCCUCACCCCACCACCCUGUGUCGUUAUUUGCAGAGAGAGGAGGGAGAGUUUUCAAAAAUUUAUUUUUAAUUUAUAAUUAAUUUAUAAUUUUUUAAUUGUUAAUUGAUUCUUUUAAUUUAUUUUAUCUAUUUUAUUUUAUUUUAUCAGUUGAUGUGGCUAUUAUAUAUGAUCUGAUUGUCUUCUUAUUCAAUGACUCUCUUGAAGUUUCUUCUUUCUUUUUUGGUUGGAUAAAUUUCUCUUGCCUAUGUAAAGGCUCUCUCGCACUAGACAAGGCAGAUACUAGUUCUUUACUUUGUACUAAUUACUGCCUUAAUCUUGUUGAUCCAAUAUGCGUAUACACAUGUUAUAAUAUGAGUUGACUAUAUCCUUUAUUUUUCUCCCUUUUUGAUCUAAUUUUGUGCAUCAACAUUUGAUUGUUAUAUCUUUUUCAGCAUCGAAGAACUUACUGCACCAAGAGAAUUGUCACUACCAAGGUAAGCAAAACGAACGAACGCAUGGAUCCAUAUAAAAUUUAAUAUAUUUUUAGUACCUGAUUUUGAUAUGUUGUUUAUGAUGUGUUUUCAGUUGGGCAGUUGAGAAAUCUGCCACUGGAAAUGAAGGUGAUAGACCAAGGAGAGGAUGGCCAACAAUAGUAGAGAGCAUUUUUUAUCGAGGUCGGUCAUUUCUUCCAAACUGGAAGAGGGCAUUUUUAGCAUCAUGUGUAUUUGGGGUCUUAAUAGAUCCGUUAUUCUUUUAUAUUCCUAUUGUCAACAAGGAUAAGAAGUGCAUCGGGUUGGACAACAGUUUGAAAGGAGUGGUUAUGUCACUACGAUCGACAAUGGAUCUAUUUUAUGCAGUGAAUAUUUUUAUUCAAAUUUAUAUCGAACCUAAAGUUCCAACAUUUAGGGUCAUGGGGAGAUCAUAUCUCCAUACCAUAGUUUUGACAAAAGGAACCAUAUUAGUUGAAGAUGCUUUGGCAAUGGCUAACAGGAUUUGGAGGAUCUCAUCACACAUCUUAAUUGACAUUUUAUCGGUUCUUCCCAUUCCACAGGUAUGAGAAAAUUAGUUUACCAAUCUCUCGUUUAAAAGUAUUUGAAAUUCGGAUGUGUGAAUAUAAGCUAAAUUAACUGUUGGCUUAAUCCAUUGCACUGUGUCCAGGCAGUGAUCCUUAUCUUCAUGCACUCUAGUUCUUUGAAUACGAGGAAGUUUUUGGCUUUUCUGGCUCUGUUACAGUAUGUACCACGAGUUCUUCGUAUCUACUUAUUGUGUACCAAACUCAACCAGCCUCCUGCUAGAGGGACUGAGAUAUGGAUUUUAUUUCAAGGCGCUUUUAGUUUCUUUUUGUACAUCCUUGCUAGUCAUGUAAGUUUCAAUCUUCAUGUAGUAAUUUAUCUCAAGUGAUGCUCCAUUUAGUUUCCAAGUUUUGGUUGGAUUUCUUGGCUGGAAACCUUGUCACCAAUUUAUGAACAAAAUGAACAUCAUUUAAUUUCCUAUGAAUUAUAUAUACUUUGCAGAAACUUUUCUCAAAAGUUUGUUCACUAACUUGUUGAUGUUCUUAGGUAUUUGGAGCUUUCUGGUACUUUUUAGCUAUCCAGCGAGAGAAGGCUUGCUGGCAAAAUGCUUGUCGAAACAACAAUGGAUGUCAAGCUACUACCUUCUACUGCAAUGGUCGUUCAAUCAGAAACAUCACAUUUCUGGACGACUUAUGCUCUAUGAAUCCACACAAUACUAAUGCAACACCCUUCGAUUUUGGUAUGUUUGUUGAGGCUGUCCAGUCUGGUGUGUUGGAGUCAACAAAUUUACCGAAUAAAUUCUUUCAUUGUUUCUGGUGGGGCUUGCGAAAUCUAAGGUUUGAACAUAAUUUUGCAUUACUGUAUUUUUUAGAAGGAACAAAUUUACAACUGUCUGGAUCCUAACGUUACUCUUUUACGUUGCCUAACAUCACACACACAUAUGUAUAAAUGGUGUUUUAACUUGUAAUGUCUUUAACAUAGACGAGAGGUCCUAGAAUAUUUUAUUACUUGCAGCACAUUGAAUUUAUUACUUGCAGUACAUUGAAUAUGUUUCUUCUGUUUCGAAUCUGCAGUUCUCUCGGGCAAAACCUCGAGACGAGUAACUAUACAUGGGAAAAUAUCUUUGCCAUUUUUAUUUCUCUAAGUGGCUUGCUCCUGGUUCUACUAUACCUCCCUACAAAUUUGAAGGUUGGUGCCAGAACUUCUAAAUUAAACAUAAUGUAUCUUAAUUAACUUAGGGUUCGUAUGGGAGUGGUUCUGGAUAAGCAAAAAAUACUUCUCCAUAGAAUCACUUUAAGUAGUUUUAAGUGAUUUUCUGGAGAAUGACAUAAGAUAUGCUUCUCCAAACGGGCUCUUGGAGUUUUGUUGUAAGGAUCUCAAUCUUGGAGUUCAUCAAACAAUUAUUUUGGCUUAAUAAAGCUAGAUGGUGAUAUUUUUAUGAAAAAUAAAAUGAAAAAAUUAUAUAGAGACUAGAUGUCGUUUGACAAAAUGGUCAUUGGCAAAAGCUAGAUGGUGUUGACAUGGAAAUUAGGGUUAAAAGAACUCAUGAUUGUCAUGUAACAGAUAUGUAUGGAGUUGGUAACUAGAACAUCAGCCAAGAUGCGGCCGCUGAAAAGGAAAGAUCUAGAGGUACAACUCUGGUUAUCUGAAAAUGACAUCCCUAAGGAUAUGAAGGCGCCCAUCAUGCAAAAGGUGCACAAACUUGAACAAAACACAGAUGUUCAUGUGGAGAAUAUCCUCUCUAUUCUUCCCUUGGAAGAAAAGAGAUUUAUUAAGCGACAUCUCUGCUGGCCUACAAUGAACAAAGUAAGUUUCCCUCAUCUCCAAAGUGUUCAAUUAUUCUUCUCACCAGAGUCUCCAAUUUGACAUUAUUAAUUUUAUAAUUCGUAGUUUAGUUUUUCUUCGUUUAACAUGUCGUACCGUUUAAGUUUUUAAAUUAACAUUUAAAAUUAGGUUCCAAUGCUUCGAGAUAUGGACGAUCAAGUGUUGAAAGAAAUCUUUGACAAUCUCAAGCCAGUGAGCUAUACAGAAGACAAAUGUAUAAUUGGAGAGGGUGAACCACUUGUUAAAAUGCUCAUCAUCACUCGAGGCAUUUUGUUGACCUACACAACUAACAAUGGUGCUAGAAGAAGUAGUGGAGGUUCUUCAACCACCACCAAGCGUCUUGCCAAAGGUGAUUUCUGUGGAGAAGAACUUCUAACCUGGGCAUCAACAUUCUCCCCGCUUUCAGACUUACCCAUCUCCACAACAUUUGUCAAGUCCCUCACAAAAGUUGAAGCAUUUGCGCUCAUGGCCAAUGACUUGAAGAUUAUAGCGUCUAAAUUCUGGAGGCAUUUUAGCAUGGAUGCUCGGAUGCCGGUACAUCUUGCUGCAAAUCUUAUACAAACCAACUGGCGCCGCCGCAAUACAAGGGGUGCUAUACCGAAUCCUCUAAGCUCCAGCGAGGAGUUCCGGUUGAUGACUAUUAUGACUCAUCCGGUCCACUUGAAGAAAGGGGAGAAGGAGGAGGAAGAAGGGUAGUGAGGACAGUGGUUGCUGAGAUUGACGGAACGAGAGGCGAAGAGCAUGAGGUGUCGGUCGUGGGCCUCUUCUGGGUUAAUUUCGUGGUCGUCAGAGGUGGAGAGGUUGAUGCUGGUUUGGGUUGUGGAGGACGGGGUUGCCGACGCUGGGGUUGGAUGGUGUUCGUGUUCUGGGAUUUUAUUUCUUUACUUCAAUUUCUUUUGUCAAACAUGUAUUUUAAUAUAUUUUAGUUUUUUUUUUUUUUUUUAAAAGAAAGGGCUGGAGCUUGUAUUUUAAUUUUUUUUUUAUAGGCUUUUUAUCACAAAUGGUUCUUAACGUUUACGAUUUUAUCACGAAUGGUCCUUGAUGUAUUUUUGUGACACUAAUAGUCCUUAACGUUAGUGCUUUUUAUCACAAAUGGUCACUCCAUUAAAAAUUCUGUUAAGUGUAAUAAGUGGA
RNAcentral lists this long non-coding RNA (4264 nucleotides) under Prunus dulcis (almond). Its description in RNAcentral is "sRNA ncRNA". Lineage: Eukaryota; Viridiplantae; Streptophyta; Magnoliopsida; Rosales; Rosaceae. The record is from RNAcentral.